Molecule: ribosomal RNA, 1372 nt
Filed under: uncultured bacterium
Lineage: Bacteria
Description: bacterial SSU rRNA
Rfam family: Bacterial small subunit ribosomal RNA
Source: RNAcentral
GAUGAACGCUGGCGGCGUGCCUAAUACAUGCAAGUCGAGCGAACGGACGAGAAGCUUGCUUCUCUGAUGUUAGCGGCGGACGGGUGAGUAACACGUGGAUAACCUACCUAUAAGACUGGGAUAACUUCGGGAAACCGGAGCUAAUACCGGAUGAUAUUUUGAACCGCAUGGUUCAAAAGUGAAAGACGGUCUUGCUGUCACUUAUAGAUGGAUCCGCGCUGCAUUAGCUAGUUGGUAAGGUAACGGCUUACCAAGGCAACGAUGCAUAGCCGACCUGAGAGGGUGAUCGGCCACACUGGAACUGAGACACGGUCCAGACUCCUACGGGAGGCAGCAGUAGGGAAUCUUCCGCAAUGGGCGAAAGCCUGACGGAGCAACGCCGCGUGAGUGAUGAAGGUCUUCGGAUCGUAAAACUCUGUUAUUAGGGAAGAACAUAUGUGUAAGUAACUGUGCACAUCUUGACGGUACCUAAUCAGAAAGCCACGGCUAACUACGUGCCAGCAGCCGCGGUAAUACGUAGGUGGCAAGCGUUAUCCGGAAUUAUUGGGCGUAAAGCGCGCGUAGGCGGUUUUUUAAGUCUGAUGUGAAAGCCCACGGCUCAACCGUGGAGGGUCAUUGGAAACUGGAAAACUUGAGUGCAGAAGGGGAAAGUGGAAUUCCAUGUGUAGCGGUGAAAUGCGCAGAGAUAUGGAGGAACACCAGUGGCGAAGGCGACUUUCUGGUCUGUAACUGACGCUGAUGUGCGAAAGCGUGGGGAUCAAACAGGAUUAGAUACCCUGGUAGUCCACGCCGUAAACGAUGAGUGCUAAGUGUUAGGGGGUUUCCGCCCCUUAGUGCUGCAGCUAACGCAUUAAGCACUCCGCCUGGGGAGUACGACCGCAAGGUUGAAACUCAAAGGAAUUGACGGGGACCCGCACAAGCGGUGGAGCAUGUGGUUUAAUUCGAAACAACGCGAAGAACCUUACCAAAUCUUGACAUCCUUUGACAACUCUAGAGAUAGAGCCUUCCCCUUCGGGGGACAAAGUGACAGGUGGUGCAUGGUUGUCGUCAGCUCGUGUCGUGAGAUGUUGGGUUAAGUCCCGCAACGAGCGCAACCCUUAAGCUUAGUUGCCAUCAUUAAGUUGGGCACUCUAAGUUGACUGCCGGUGACAAACCGGAGGAAGGUGGGGAUGACGUCAAAUCAUCAUGCCCCUUAUGAUUUGGGCUACACACGUGCUACAAUGGACAAUACAAAGGGCAGCGAAACCGCGAGGUCAAGCAAAUCCCAUAAAGUUGUUCUCAGUUCGGAUUGUAGUCUGCAACUCGACUACAUGAAGCUGGAAUCGCUAGUAAUCGUAGAUCAGCAUGCUACGGUGAAUACGUUCCCGGGUCU